UGUAGGAUAGGUGGGAGGCUUUGAAGCGUGGACGCCAGUCUGCGUGGAGCCAACCUUGAAAUACCACCCUUUAAUGUUUGAUGUUCUAACGUUGGCCCCUGACCGGGGUUGCGGACAGUGUCUGGUGGGUAGUUUGACUGGGGCGGUCUCCUCCCAAAGCGUAACGGAGGAGCACGAAGGUUAGCUAAUCCUGGUCGGACAUCAGGAGGUUAGUGCAAUGGCAUAAGCUAGCUUGACUGCGAGCGUGACGGCGCGAGCAGGUGCGAAAGCAGGUCAUAGUGAUCCGGUGGUUCUGAAUGGAAGGGCCAUCGCUCAACGGAUAAAAGGUACUCCGGGGAUAACAGGCUGAUACCGCCCAAGAGUUCAUAUCGACGGCGGUGUUUGGCACCUCGAUGUCGGCUCAUCACAUCCUGGGGCUGAAGUAGGUCCCAAGGGUAUGGCUGUUCGCCAUUUAAAGUGGUACGCGAGCUGGGUUUAGAACGUCGUGAGACAGUUCGGUCCCUAUCUGCCGUGGGCGCUGGAGAAUUGAGGGGGGCUGCUCCUAGUACGAGAGGACCGGAGUGGACGCAUCACUGGUGUUCGGGUUGUCAUGCCAAUGGCACUGCCCGGUAGCUAAAUGCGGAAGAGAUAAGUGCUGAAAGCAUCUAAGCACGAAACUUGCCCCG
RNAcentral lists this ribosomal RNA (665 nucleotides) under Klebsiella pneumoniae. RNAcentral's name for it is "partial 23S ribosomal RNA". It matches the Rfam family "Bacterial large subunit ribosomal RNA", at positions 2137 to 2801 of the family's 2925-position model. Lineage: Bacteria; Pseudomonadati; Pseudomonadota; Gammaproteobacteria; Enterobacterales; Enterobacteriaceae. The record is from RNAcentral.